Molecule: microRNA, 24 nt
Filed under: Zea mays
Lineage: Eukaryota; Viridiplantae; Streptophyta; Magnoliopsida; Poales; Poaceae
Description: microRNA miR-3228
Source: RNAcentral
ACCGUCCUGUAGUUGAAUAGGCUC